GUCGCACGAGAAAGCGGGAGCAAUCCUGCAAGUACAGUGGCGUACGGGUGAGUAACACGUGGAUUAUCUGCCCUGGAGUGGGGAAUAACGCUGGGAAACCGGCGCUAAUACCGCAUAUUCCCGAGAGGGGAAAGCAGCAAUGCGCUCGAGGAGGAGUCCGCGGCUGAUUAGCUAGUUGGUAGGGUAACGGCCUACCAAGGCUAUGAUCGGUAGCCGGCCUGAGAGGGCACACGGCCACACUGGCACUGAAACACGGGCCAGACUCCUACGGGAGGCAGCAGUGGGGAAUCUUGCACAAUGGGGGCAACCCUGAUGCAGCGACGCCGCGUGAGCGAUGAAGCCCUUCGGGGUGUAAAGCUCUUUCGGCAGGGAAGAUUAUGACGGUACCUGCAGAAGCAGCUGCGGCUAACUACGUGCCAGCAGCCGCGGUAAUACGUAGGCAGCGAGCGUUGUUCGGAGUUACUGGGCGUAAAGGGUGUGUAGGCGGUUCUUUAAGUUUGGUGUGAAAUCUCCCGGCUUAACCGGGAGGGUGCGCAGAAAACUGGCGGGCUAGAGUACGGGAUGGGAGAGUAGAAUUCCUGGUGUAGCGGUGAAAUGCGUAGAUAUCAGGAGGAAUACCGGUGGGUGUAGACGGCUCUCUGGACCGUAACUGACACUGAGACACGAAAGCGUGGGUAGCAAACAGGAUUAGAUACCCUGGUAGUCCACGCCCUAAACGAUGC
Molecule: ribosomal RNA, 722 nt
Filed under: uncultured bacterium
Lineage: Bacteria
Description: bacterial SSU rRNA
Rfam family: Bacterial small subunit ribosomal RNA
Source: RNAcentral